AGUGAACGCUGGCGGCAUGCCUAACACAUGCAAGUCGAACGGCAGCACCGUAAGAGCUUGCUCUUACGGGUGGCGCGUGGCGGACGGGUGAGGAAUACAUCGGAUACUACUUUUACGUGGGUGAUAACGCAGGGAAACUUCUGCUAACACAGCAUACGUCCUACGGGUGAGAGCAGGCGUUCUUCGGACCUUGUGCGAUUGUAUGAGCCGAUGUCGGAUUAGAUAGUUGGCGGGGUAAAGGCCCACCAAGGCGACGAUCCGUAGCAGGUCUGAGAGGAUGAUCCGCCACACUGGAACUGAGACACGGUCCAGACUCCUACGGGAGGCAGCAGUGGGGAAUAUUACGCAAUGGGCGAAAGCCUGAUCCAGCCAUACCGCGUGAGUGAUGAAGGACUUCGGGUGGUAAAGCGCUGUUGUUGGGAAAGAAAAGAAGCAGGUUUACACGCGGCGAUACUGACGGUACCGAGAGAAUAAGCACCGGCUAACUUCGUG
This 492-nucleotide ribosomal RNA is filed under the name uncultured bacterium. RNAcentral describes it as "partial 16S ribosomal RNA". It matches the Rfam family "Bacterial small subunit ribosomal RNA", at positions 29 to 507 of the family's 1533-position model. The record is from RNAcentral.